AUGGCAGACAUAUUGUCCUCCAUCUCUUUGGACUAUAAUGACAUGGUUAGAACUUUUCCAGUCAGAAAGUAAGCUUAGAAGAUGAAUGUUACUCAAUAUUCGAUCUCUCAUUGAGGGGUUGAGGUAUGUUGUAUAGGAUCAGAUCUCUCAUUGAGGGGUUGAGGUAUGUUGUAUAGGAUCAGACCCAUCACCAGAAUGAUACUGCCCACGUGAAAAAAGGGGCUCAAGCUCACACCUUCCGGAAGAUAUGGCAGCGCAAGGGAAAGUAUGCAUAUUGAAAUUGGAACUGCCAAAAAAGAGAAAAACCAAGUGAAAAAAAAAAUGAACCAAAAUGAAAAGCUGAUCAUUUAAGAGGAUCAACCAGUCUAAAGGUUUUCAUUAAGAGAGAACCUG
This 393-nucleotide long non-coding RNA is filed under the name Coffea arabica (coffee). RNAcentral describes it as "long non-coding RNA (CARA_LNC006763)". Lineage: Eukaryota; Viridiplantae; Streptophyta; Magnoliopsida; Gentianales; Rubiaceae. The record is from RNAcentral.